RNAcentral lists this ribosomal RNA (301 nucleotides) under uncultured bacterium. RNAcentral describes it as "partial 16S ribosomal RNA". It matches the Rfam family "Bacterial small subunit ribosomal RNA", at positions 509 to 807 of the family's 1533-position model. The record is from RNAcentral.
CAGCAGCCGCGGGAAAACGGAGGGUGCAAGCGUUAAUCGGAAUUACUGGGCGUAAAGCGCACGCAGGCGGUCUGUCAAGUCAGAUGUGAAAUCCCCGGGCUUAACCUGGGAACUGCAUUUGAAACUGGCAGGCUAGAGUCUUGUAGAGGGGGGUAGAAUUCCAGGUGUAGCGGUGAAAUGCGUAGAGAUCUGGAGGAAUACCGGUGGCGAAGGCGGCCCCCUGGACAAAGACUGACGCUCAGGUGCGAAAGCGUGGGGAGCAAACAGGAUUAGAUACCCCAGUAGUCCCUGUCUCUUAUAC